Molecule: ribosomal RNA, 450 nt
Filed under: uncultured bacterium
Lineage: Bacteria
Description: partial 16S ribosomal RNA
Rfam family: Bacterial small subunit ribosomal RNA
Source: RNAcentral
GUGGGGAAUUUUGGACAAUGGGCGAAAGCCUGAUCCAGCCAUGCCGCGUGCAGGAUGAAGGCCUUCGGGUUGUAAACUGCUUUUGUACGGAACGAAAAGACUCUGGUUAAUACCUGGGGUCCAUGACGGUACCGUAAGAUUAAGCACCGGCUAACUACGUGCCAGCAGCCGCGGUAAUACGUAGGGUGCAAGCGUUAAUCGGAAUUACUGGGCGUAAAGCGUGCGCAGGCGGUUAUAUAAGACAGAUGUGAAAUCCCCGGGCUCAACCUGGGAACUGCAUUUGUGACUGUAUAGCUAGAGUACGGCAGAGGGGGAUGGAAUUCCGCGUGUAGCAGUGAAAUGCGUAGAUAUGCGGAGGAACACCGAUGGCGAAGGCAAUCCCCUGGGCCUGUACUGACGCUCAUGCACGAAAGCGUGGGGAGCAAACAGGAGUAGAUACCCGGGUAGUCC